AACCCCCUGCCAAAGCCAUGCAUACCCCAAAUAAAAGAAUUAAUGAAUUCAUUGAGAGUUUCAUUUUUUUGAACAUGAACAAAAAGGUUCAAGAUUGCUUGCUGUUUGUUGUUUGUUGUUUGUUGUUUGUUGUUU
This 135-nucleotide non-coding RNA is filed under the name Mucochytrium quahogii. Lineage: Eukaryota; Bigyra; Thraustochytrida; Thraustochytriidae. The record is from RNAcentral.